UUAACAAAUACCAUCAAAUAUUGCCCUCGUAGAACAGGAAGAGGUCCAUUAAGGAAGCCCACAAAGUAUUACUCCCAAAAACUAUGAAUAAGACUUGGGAGAUAAUCUUGUUUAACUAAUUUCAUAACUACUGAACUGAGCUAGUCAAUUAAGUAAUGAAUGAAAAUGAUGUAAAUCGUGUCAGUGAGCAGAACUGGCCAUUAACAAAACAGCCCAUCAUAAAAUAACCAAAUGUCAUCUAAAUUUAAUGGCCUGAGACAUGGAUACAGUCUCCAAAGGCCUGUCUUAAAUACUCUAUGUCUUGCUGUUUCCUGGGUUAAUUAUUAGAUAAAUAUUAACGAAGCCCAGGGCAAAAUUUAUAAUCUUUAUGGGCAAGUAACGUGUUUGGGGCAGGAUCUCUUUAAUAAAUAUGUAAGUGUGGUUUUGGUCUUAGCUAUAAAGGCUGCCAGGAUCUAUAACGCUUAUUUACUGUUAUUCUCAUACUUAAAAUUUUGUCUACUGGUCAAAAUAAAGUUAACAAAAAUGAACAUAGAGUUAAAAGAUGUAUAGAGAACUGCCAUACAAUUCUAUAUAUACUUUUAUGCCUAUUUUUAUACUUUUACAUAAUCUUCAGGUCAAAAUCAGGUCAACAAAAGUAACGUAGAGGUUGACACGCUUCUAAUAACAGGCAUUCGGACAACUAAUGAUUUCUUUAUUUUAUACAUUCCCUUGCAACAGUACACAAUGGGACAGCUAUAAAUCAGUAUCACAGUCUCUUGUAUAUAUGGACCUUGGUUAGUAUGCGCUCCCUUUCACAUCAAUGUUAGAAGACAGAAAUACUGAACAACAACUAACAUGAACACAACUCACUCUCUCUCUCUUUACGUCAUGUCAAAUUUACGUAUAUAUAACUUGAUUUAACAAUGCCAUGACAAUUGCUACUACUCUCUCUCUCUUUCUUACUUUAUACAAUGCCAAAUUUACAAAUAUAUAACUCAAUUUAACAAGAAAAC
Eriocheir sinensis (Chinese mitten crab) is the source of this 992-nucleotide long non-coding RNA. RefSeq lists it as uncharacterized. Lineage: Eukaryota; Metazoa; Arthropoda; Malacostraca; Decapoda; Varunidae. The record is from RefSeq and is a predicted model, not a curated record. The transcript is spliced from 2 exons.